CCUACGGGUGGCAGCAGUGAGGAAUAUUGGUCAAUGGGCGGGAGCCUGAACCAGCCAAGCCGCGUGAGGGAAGAAGGUACAGCGUAUCGUAAACCUCUUUUGUCAGGGAACAAAGGCGGGUACUAGUCCCCGGAUGAGGGUACAUGAAGAAAAAGCAUCGGCUAACUCCGUGCCAGCAGCCGCGGUAAUACGGAGGAUGCGAGCUGUAUCCGGAUUUAUUGGGUUUAACGGUUGCGAAGGGGGCAGGUUAAGUUAGCGGUAAAACCCCGGGGCUCAACCCCGACGCGCCGUGGAAACUGGGGGGCUGGAGUGGGAGAGAGGUAAGCGGAAUGCGCGGUGUAGCGGUGAAAUGCGUAGAUAUCGCGCAGAACUCCGAUUGCGAAGGCAGCUUACUAAACUGCCACUGACAUUGAUGCUCGAAAGUGUGGGUAGCAAACAGGAUUAGAUACCCGUGUAGUC
RNAcentral lists this ribosomal RNA (459 nucleotides) under uncultured bacterium. Its description in RNAcentral is "partial 16S ribosomal RNA". It matches the Rfam family "Bacterial small subunit ribosomal RNA", at positions 338 to 795 of the family's 1533-position model. The record is from RNAcentral.